Manacus vitellinus (golden-collared manakin) is the source of this 510-nucleotide long non-coding RNA. RefSeq lists it as uncharacterized. Lineage: Eukaryota; Metazoa; Chordata; Aves; Passeriformes; Pipridae. The record is from RefSeq and is a predicted model, not a curated record. The transcript has 2 exons.
UGUUAGUUGAGCUGAAGGAAUUUAUCAUGGAGAGAAAACACGGUGUACUUGAGGAAGGGGCUUUGCUUGUUCUCUAAUUAAAAUAUAAUUUCCCUGAACAGGUGCUGUCUGAGUAAUGCCAGAUGCAAUGGAAUCCUCUCCUUCUCCUGAUCUUUUAGGUACAACCCAGCUUUGAGUGAGGAAUUGAAAACAGGAUCUAUUCCUUAUUUGUGCCCCAAAUGGACUUCUAUUUAGAAUGACUUUAGUUGCAUUAGAAAGUGGAGCUGAGUUCUUUCCUGGUGCACUGACUUGGAAUUUCAAUCACGUCCUUGUUGCAAAGUGGGAGGGUUACCAGCCUGGGCGAAAGCAGAACUCAGGAUCUCACAAUUUUAGCAGCAUCAGCUGAAACAAGACUGAAAACAGCACUUAAGAGGAUUUUGUGUGGAAGGAAAAAGGGUUGAGACUGCACUGAAGACAGAAGCUUAGUGGUUGCCUAAAGCCACCAUAAAUAAAAUACUCCUUAUUCUUUCA